AUGAGAGCAAAUAUUGCUCUACUGUGCAUAAAUCUUUCCCUUUCUUCUUUACUUUUUGUUUUUUCAUAUUUGCAUUUAUGGUUGGUAAUGCUAUCACCACAAUGAAUUUCUUCAAUGAUCAAAAAAUCCUUCACAACACAACUGAAAACAACUACAACAGAACCAAAUAUAGGGGAAAAGGCUUUAGAAGUGUGAUUGAUGCUUGUUCUAGAAGAUGUCCUAACACCAAUGGGAGUAAAGGCAGAGGUAAUGGACACAAGAUAUGCACUUUGUGCAAUAAGACAGGACAUACAGUGGAUGUAUUCUACAAGAAGCAUGGUUAUCCACCUCAUUACAAUAACAUCAACAUUGUCAUUGGAGAUGUGGAAGAGCAGUCUAAAGAACCUAAUGUAGAGGAGGAUAAUCAGUUUGGUUUUACCUUAGAUCAACACAAAGCUCUCUUGAAACUCAUUAAAGGACAAGACUGACAACAUAACACUAAUCAAAUAAGCAUUGAAAUAAUAAAGAAUCCAGGUAAUAUCUUGAAGCAGAAAGACUUGAUAAGUGAAGAUUGGAUCCUUGACACAAGAGCAACAUACCAUGUUUGUCACUCCUUGUUAAGCUUUCAAUCAUUUAGAAAAAUAAAGCCUAUAACUAUCAAGAUGCCUAAUGAAAGUUAGGUUACCACUGAUACAUC
This 676-nucleotide long non-coding RNA is filed under the name Lupinus mutabilis. RNAcentral describes it as "partial ncRNA". The record is from RNAcentral. Lineage: Eukaryota; Viridiplantae; Streptophyta; Magnoliopsida; Fabales; Fabaceae.